Molecule: non-coding RNA, 129 nt
Organism: Vigna radiata var. radiata (mung bean)
Lineage: Eukaryota; Viridiplantae; Streptophyta; Magnoliopsida; Fabales; Fabaceae
Source: Rfam
AAAAAAGCAGGGACCUGUUUUACCUUUGUGAGCAUGUCCUUCGUUAACUUCAGGGACAGCGUCCUCAUUGUUGUUGGGUGAACCUCUGUCUUGCACGUGACUCAAGGUUCAGUAAAUAAUGGAACAUUU